UACGGAGGAUCCAAGCGUUAUCCGGAUUCAUUGGGUUUAAAGGGUGCGUAGGUGGAUUUGUAAGUCAGUGGUGAAAUCCUGCAGCUUAACUGUAGAACUGCCAUUGAUACUGCAAGUCUUGAGUGUGUUUGAAGUGGGCGGAAUGUGUCAUGUAGCGGUGAAAUGCAUAGAUAUGACACAGAACACCGAUUGCGUAGGCAGCUCACUAAGCCACAACUGACACUGAGGCACGACAGCGUGGGGAUCAAACAGG
RNAcentral lists this ribosomal RNA (253 nucleotides) under uncultured bacterium. RNAcentral describes it as "partial 16S ribosomal RNA". It matches the Rfam family "Bacterial small subunit ribosomal RNA", at positions 524 to 776 of the family's 1533-position model. The record is from RNAcentral.